CACAGGGAUUGCCUUAGUAGCGGCGAGCGAAGCGGCAACAGCUCAAAUUUGAAAUCUGGCUACUUUGUAGUCCGAGUUGUAAUUUGCAGAGGAUGCUUUUGGUGAGGUGCCUUCCGAGUUCCCUGGAACGGGACGCCAGAGAGGGUGAGAGCCCCGUACGGUUGGACACCAAACCUUUGUAUAGCUCCUUCAACGAGUCGAGUAGUUUGGGAAUGCUGCUCUAAAUGGGAGGUAUAUCUCUUCUAAAGCUAAAUACCGGCUAGAGACCGAUAGCGCACAAGUAGAGUGAUCGAAAGAUGAAAAGCACUUUGAAAAGAGAGUUAAACAGCACGUGAAAUUGUUGAAAGGGAAGCGCCUAUGACCAGACUUGUUUCUGUCAGUUUUGCUUGUUUUCGGACUUGUUUACUCUGUCAGUACAGGCCAACAUCAGUUUGUUGUUUGGGAGAAAGGCUUAGGGAAUGUGGCUCCCUCGGGAGUGUUAUAGCCCUUUGCAUAAUACCAUUCGGCAGACUGAGGACCGCGCUUCGGCAAGGAUGUUGGCGUAAUGGUCAUCAGCGACCCGUCUUGAAACACGGACCAAGGAGUCAACCUUAUGUGCGAGUGUUUGGGUGUAAAACCCCAGCGCGUAAUGAACGUGAACGUAGGUGAGAGCUUCGGCGCAUCAUCGACCGAUUCUGAUGUUCUCGGAUGGAUUUGAGUAAGAGCAUAUAGGGUUGGACCCGAAAGAAGGUGAACUAUGCUUGUAUAGGGUGAAGCCAGAGGAAACUCUGGUGGAGGCUCGCAGCGGUUCUGACGUGCAAAUCGAUCGUCAAAUAUGAGCAUGGGGGCGAAAGACUAAUCGA
Molecule: ribosomal RNA, 842 nt
Filed under: Endoconidiophora coerulescens
Lineage: Eukaryota; Fungi; Ascomycota; Sordariomycetes; Microascales; Ceratocystidaceae
Description: eukaryotic LSU rRNA
Rfam family: Eukaryotic large subunit ribosomal RNA
Source: RNAcentral